This 531-nucleotide long non-coding RNA is filed under the name Prunus persica (peach). RNAcentral's name for it is "long non-coding RNA (PPER_LNC000374)". Lineage: Eukaryota; Viridiplantae; Streptophyta; Magnoliopsida; Rosales; Rosaceae. The record is from RNAcentral.
AGAGAUCUUAUCGCUAUUUUAGAGUCAGUGCCCUUGCUGAGUGUCUGAGAGCAAGAUGAUUGCCUUUUUUUUUUUAAUAUAUAUAUAUUUAUUUAUUUAUUUUUCUUUCUGUCGGUGGGUUUGCUGUUGGAUCUUCUUUAUCGGUGGGUGCUGCUCAUCAUUUCGGUCGUGGCCGUCAUCAUGGGUCUGUCAAAGUUGCCUCUGCAUUUACACCGUUUUAUUCGCUGUCCCUGCCGACUGGAGAUAAAUCUCAGCAAUAAAUUGCAGCGACAGAUCUGAUCGUUUUGCCCCAAACACAGAGACAGCCAACUCUCCGCUUGUGGAGUUUACCCUUCUGCCACCCAAGGUAAAACUGGAUUUCCUUCUUUGAACUCAUAGCCUUUCAGAAAAAUUGAACAAUAAGGAAAGUGCCUUUUCUUCUGAACAAGUCGAUGAACUCUCUCCCAUGAAGCAAUCUCACCACGCAGCGCCUGGGAGUUGAUCUAGCAAGGACCAAUCGACGCGGGCCACAUGGUCGACGAGGGCGGAUGC